Molecule: non-coding RNA, 28 nt
Filed under: Homo sapiens (human)
Lineage: Eukaryota; Metazoa; Chordata; Mammalia; Primates; Hominidae
Source: RNAcentral
UGCCGACAUUCCUUAGGGUCCAUAGGGA